RNAcentral lists this unclassified non-coding RNA (242 nucleotides) under plant metagenome. RNAcentral's name for it is "partial contains small subunit ribosomal RNA and internal transcribed spacer 1". The record is from RNAcentral.
AAGGUCGUAACCAAGGUCUCCGUUGGUGAACCAGCGGAGGGGAUCAUUUGCUGGAACAAAGCGCCCUCACGGGUGCUACCCAGAAAUCCCUUUGUGAAUCAUCCUAAAAAGCUGUUGCCUCGGCUUUAGGUUGGCUUCCUCGGAAGGUCCCUUCGCAAGAAGGAGCAGACCGGCCGGUGGCCCGAUCAACUCUUGUUUUUGGUAACAUCAUCUGAGUAAAAAAUCAACUAAUGAAUCAAAAG